GGCCGUGUUCACACCAAACUCCAUGUACAGUAAACGUGUUUACAAUUAGUUUAACGUACUGGCCAUUGGUUUCACAUUAAAUUUGUUCACAUCUAUACACCUUGUUUAAUUACCUGUACAUAAGAUUCGUUCACACUUGUAAACUCUAUGUCAUUUAAAUGUUCCAUUACGUAGAAUCGAAUGAAAAGUUUUCGGACAACUUUGCUAGCAGUAAGGGAACGACCAUUUGACUCUGAAUAGGGGGGAUGGAAAUAUUCCAAACCCCAAUUGGAUAAAGAAAACAAUUCUGGUUCUAUAGAUGAUAAAAAAAUAUUCUGAAUCAAGAGUUUCCCCACACAUUAUAGUGUUAAAUGUUGAAAAAAAAAAUUUGAUUACCAGCAUCAAAUUAAAAAAAAAACAAAAACAAACAAACCCGUAAAACGUUUGCGCGGAAAUAAUUCUGACUCAGAUAAAUAAAAAAAUACCCCCCUUUUUUGAAGUUAAGUGGUUGCUUCUUUAUGGAAGCCAUUUUGAUGAUUUGCAGUAGUUUAAGGAUACUAAAGAUGUCUCGAUUAAGCAUUAGAAAACGUAGGCUGCAACAGCGUGCUUACAGACGAAGAAGAAGGAUUGAUAUAUUAGGGAUCACUAGAUUUCUAUCUUUUCUGUUUGUUCAAAUGGUACUCUUCUCCAAGAAGUAUAUGGCAAAGGGGGUGGGGGGGGUAUGUUUUUUUUUUUUUUUACUUUUUAAGUGUAAUUUCACGGAUCCGAGAUACUGCAAAAACAAUACAUUUACCUCACACUUUUUAAGUAAUGCAUUUAUGAGUGAAUCGUUGUUUGAGUAAAGACCAGUGGCAAAUAUUUCUGUGUAAGUCAAGUUUAUUCGGAAAUACCUUAAUUUUCAAAUGAAUUAUGUGUUCGGCAAUGAUGCUGCUUUGAGUCUUGAUAAGGGCUUAAUAAAGCUACGUUAAGUUUUAUUUCUAAACAAAACAAAUAAAUAUAUCAAGUUCAGACAAAUAUUUCUGUAAAGAACUUUUAUUAUAAUAUUUGCUAUAAAUAUCAAUUUUAUUCAAAAAUCGUUUCUUCUUUAAAUAUGCACGGUGAAACUAAUGUUUUAAAUGCCUAGUUUUAUGUACACUGAAUCUACACAAGGCCUACAUCGAGUAUCGACUGCAUGUAGACAAAACAUGAUUUACACUACAUGUAAACAUUGAGUUUUAUCAAUGAGAACGUAAUUUUGUUUAGUUUAUGUGUGAGUUACACUUACACAAC
Molecule: long non-coding RNA, 1248 nt
Filed under: Mytilus galloprovincialis (Mediterranean mussel)
Lineage: Eukaryota; Metazoa; Mollusca; Bivalvia; Mytilida; Mytilidae
Source: RNAcentral